RNAcentral lists this ribosomal RNA (563 nucleotides) under uncultured beta proteobacterium. RNAcentral's name for it is "bacterial SSU rRNA". It matches the Rfam family "Bacterial small subunit ribosomal RNA", at positions 9 to 569 of the family's 1533-position model. The record is from RNAcentral. Lineage: Bacteria; Pseudomonadati; Pseudomonadota; Betaproteobacteria.
GAGUUUGAUCAUGGCUCAGAUUGAACGCUGGCGGCAUGCCUUACACAUGCAAGUCGAACGGUAACAGGUCUUCGGACGCUGACGAGUGGCGAACGGGUGAGUAAUACAUCGGAACGUGCCCAGUCGUGGGGGAUAACUACUCGAAAGAGUAGCUAAUACCGCAUACGAUCUGAGGAUGAAAGCGGGGGACCUUCGGGCCUCGCGCGAUUGGAGCGGCCGAUGGCAGAUUAGGUAGUUGGUGGGAUAAAAGCUUACCAAGCCGACGAUCUGUAGCUGGUCUGAGAGGACGACCAGCCACACUGGGACUGAGACACGGCCCAGACUCCUACGGGAGGCAGCAGUGGGGAAUUUUGGACAAUGGGCGAAAGCCUGAUCCAGCAAUGCCGCGUGCAGGAUGAAGGCCUUCGGGUUGUAAACUGCUUUUGUACGGAACGAAAAAGCUUCUCCUAAUACGAGNNNCNCAUGACGGUACCGUAAGAAUAAGCACCGGCUAACUACGUGCCAGCAGCCGCGGUAAUACGUAGGGUGCGAGCGUUAAUCGGAAUUACUGGGCGUAAAGCGUG